GACGAACGCUGGCGGCGUGCCUAAUACAUGCAAGUAGAACGCUGAAGAGAGGAGCUUGCUCUUCUUGGAUGAGUUGCGAACGGGUGAGUAACGCGUAGGUAACCUGCCUUGUAGCGGGGGAUAACUAUUGGAAACGAUAGCUAAUACCGCAUAACAAUGGAUGACACAUGUCAUUUAUUUGAAAGGGGGAAUUGCUCCACUACAAGAUGGACCUGCGUUGUAUUAGCUAGGAGGUGAGGUAACGGCUCACCUAGGCGACGAUACAUAGCCGACCUGAGAGGGUGAUCGGCCACACUGGGACUGAGACACGGCCCAGACUCCUACGGGAGGCAGCAGUAGGGAAUCUUCGGCAAUGGGGGCAACCCUGACCGAGCAACGCCGCGUGAGUGAAGAAGGUUUUCGGAUCGUAAAGCUCUGUUGUAAGUCAAGAACGAGUGUGAGAGUGGAAAGUUCACACUGUGACGGUAGCUUACCAGAAAGGGACGGCUAACUACGUGCCAGCAGCCGCGGUAAUACGUAGGUCCCGAGCGUUGUCCGGAUUUAUUGGGCGUAAAGCGAGCGCAGGCGGUUUGAUAAGUCUGAAGUUAAAGGCUGUGGCUCAACCAUAGUUCGCUUUGGAAACUGUCAAACUUGAGUGCAGAAGGGGAGAGUGGAAUUCCAUGUGUAGCGGUGAAAUGCGUAGAUAUAUGGAGGAACACCGGUGGCGAAAGCGGCUCUCUGGUCUGUAACUGACGCUGAGGCUCGAAAGCGUGGGGAGCGAACAGGAUUAGAUACCCUGGUAGUCCACGCCGUAAACGAUGAGUGCUAGGUGUUGGAUCCUUUCCGGGAUUCAGUGCCGCAGCUAACGCAUUAAGCACUCCGCCUGGGGAGUACGACCGCAAGGUUGAAACUCAAAGGAAUUGACGGGGGCCCGCACAAGCGGUGGAGCAUGUGGUUUAAUUCGAAGCAACGCGAAGAACCUUACCAGGUCUUGACAUCCCGAUGCUAUUUCUAGAGAUAGAAAGUUACUUCGGUACAUCGGUGACAGGUGGUGCAUGGUUGUCGUCAGCUCGUGUCGUGAGAUGUUGGGUUAAGUCCCGCAACGAGCGCAACCCCUAUUGUUAGUUGCCAUCAUUCAGUUGGGCACUCUAGCGAGACUGCCGGUAAUAAACCGGAGGAAGGUGGGGAUGACGUCAAAUCAUCAUGCCCCUUAUGACCUGGGCUACACACGUGCUACAAUGGUUGGUACAACGAGUUGCGAGUCGGUGACGGCAAGCUAAUCUCUUAAAGCCAAUCUCAGUUCGGAUUGUAGGCUGCAACUCGCCUACAUGAAGUCGGAAUCGCUAGUAAUCGCGGAUCAGCACGCCGCGGUGAAUACGUUCCCGGGCCU
This 1369-nucleotide ribosomal RNA is filed under the name uncultured bacterium. RNAcentral describes it as "bacterial SSU rRNA". It matches the Rfam family "Bacterial small subunit ribosomal RNA", at positions 28 to 1381 of the family's 1533-position model. The record is from RNAcentral.